This 73-nucleotide transfer RNA is filed under the name Trichonephila inaurata madagascariensis. It matches the Rfam family "tRNA". Rfam says of the family: Transfer RNA (tRNA) molecules are approximately 80 nucleotides in length. Their secondary structure includes four short double-helical elements and three loops (D, anti-codon, and T loops). Further hydrogen bonds mediate the characteristic L-shaped molecular structure. tRNAs have two regions of fundamental functional importance: the anti-codon, which is responsible for specific mRNA codon recognition, and the 3' end, to which the tRNAs corresponding amino acid is attached (by aminoacyl-tRNA synthetases). tRNAs cope with the degeneracy of the genetic code in two manners: having more than one tRNA (with a specific anti-codon) for a particular amino acid; and 'wobble' base-pairing, i.e. permitting non-standard base-pairing at the 3rd anti-codon position. The record is from Rfam by way of RNAcentral. Lineage: Eukaryota; Metazoa; Arthropoda; Arachnida; Araneae; Nephilidae.
GCCUCCGUGGCGCAAUCGGCUAGCGCGUUCGGCUGUUAACCGAAGGUUGGUGGUUCGAGCCCACCCGGGGGAG